UACGAAGGGAGCUAGCGUUGUUCGGAAUCACUGGGCGUAAAGCGCACGUAGGCGGAUGUGUCAGUCAGGGGUGAAAUCCCGGAGCUCAACUUCGGAACUGCCCUUGAUACAGCACGUCUUGAGUCCGGAAGAGGUGGGUGGAAUUCCUAGUGUAGAGGUGAAAUUCGUAGAUAUUAGGAAGAACACCAGUGGCGAAGGCGGCUCACUGGCCCGGUACUGACGCUGAGGCGCGAAAGCGUGGGGAGCAAACAGG
RNAcentral lists this ribosomal RNA (253 nucleotides) under uncultured bacterium. Its description in RNAcentral is "partial 16S ribosomal RNA". It matches the Rfam family "Bacterial small subunit ribosomal RNA", at positions 524 to 776 of the family's 1533-position model. The record is from RNAcentral.